GUGCUGUCUUCGGCAGCACAUAUUCUAAAAUUGGAAAGAUACAGAAAAGAUUAGCAUGGCCCCUGCGCAAGGCUGACACGUAAAUUCAUGAAGCAUUCCAUAUUUUU
Molecule: small nuclear RNA, 107 nt
Filed under: Dasypus novemcinctus (nine-banded armadillo)
Lineage: Eukaryota; Metazoa; Chordata; Mammalia; Cingulata; Dasypodidae
Source: RNAcentral